This 253-nucleotide ribosomal RNA is filed under the name uncultured bacterium. Its description in RNAcentral is "partial 16S ribosomal RNA". It matches the Rfam family "Bacterial small subunit ribosomal RNA", at positions 524 to 776 of the family's 1533-position model. The record is from RNAcentral.
UACGUAGGGUGCGAGCGUUGUCCGGAAUUAUUGGGCGUAAAGAGCUCGUAGGCGGUUUGUUGCGUCGGCCGUGAAAACUUGGGGCUUAACCCCGAGCCUGCGGUCGAUACGGGCAGACUUGAGUUCGGCAGGGGAGACUGGAAUUCCUGGUGUAGCAGUGAAAUGCGUAGAUAUCAUAAGGAACACCGGUGGCGAAGGCGGCGACCUGGUCCGAUACUGACGCUGAGGCGCGAAAGCGUGGGGAGCAAACAGG